RNAcentral lists this ribosomal RNA (497 nucleotides) under uncultured bacterium. Its description in RNAcentral is "partial 16S ribosomal RNA". It matches the Rfam family "Bacterial small subunit ribosomal RNA", at positions 28 to 507 of the family's 1533-position model. The record is from RNAcentral.
GAUGAACGCUGGCGGCGUGCCUAAUACAUGCAAGUCGAGCGAACAGAUGAGGAGCUUGCUCCUCUGACGUUAGCGGCGGACGGGUGAGUAACACGUGGAUAACCUACCUAUAAGACUGGGAUAACUUCGGGAAACCGGAGCUAAUACCGGAUAAUAUAUUGAACCGCAUGGUUCAAUAGUGAAAGACGGUUUUGCUGUCACUUAUAGAUGGAUCCGCGCCGCAUUAGCUAGUUGGUAAGGUAACGGCUUACCAAGGCAACGAUGCGUAGCCGACCUGAGAGAGUGAUCGGCCACACUGGAACUGAGACACGGUACAGACUACUACGGGAGGCAGCAGUAGGGAAUCUUCCGCAAUGGGCGAAAGCCUGACGGAGCAACGCCGCGUGAGUGAUGAAGGUCUUCGGAUCGUAAAACUCUGUUAUUAGGGAAGAACAAAUGUGUAAGUAACUAUGCACGUCUUGACGGUACCUAAUCAGAAAGCCACGGCUAACUACGUG